GAUGAACGCUAGCGGGAGGCCUAACACGUGCAAGCCGAGCGGUAUUGUUUCUUCGGAAAUGAGAGAGCGGCGUACGGGUGCGUAACACGUGUGCAACCUGCCUUUAUCUGGGGGAUAGCCUUUCGAAAGGAAGAUUAAUACUCCAUAAUAUAUUGAACGGCAUCGUUCAAUAUUGAAAGCUCCGGCGGAUAGAGAUGGGCACGCGCAAGAUUAGCUAGUUGGUGAGGUAACGGCUCACCAAGGCGAUGAUCUUUAGGGGGCCUGAGAGGGUGAUCCCCCACACUGGUACUGAGACACGGACCAGACUCUUACGGGAGGCAGCAGUGAGGAAUAUUGGUCAAUGGGUGCAAGCCUGAACCAGCCAUCCCGCGUGAAGGACGACUGCCCUAUGGGUUGUAAACUUCUUUUGUAUAGGGAUAAACCUACCCUCGUGAGGGUAGCUGAAGGUACUAUACGAAUAAGCACCGGCUAACUCCGUGCCAGCCGCCGCAGUAA
This 495-nucleotide ribosomal RNA is filed under the name uncultured bacterium. Its description in RNAcentral is "partial 16S ribosomal RNA". It matches the Rfam family "Bacterial small subunit ribosomal RNA", at positions 28 to 523 of the family's 1533-position model. The record is from RNAcentral.